This 32-nucleotide transfer RNA is filed under the name Riccardia longispica. RNAcentral's name for it is "partial tRNA-His". RNAcentral also lists the same sequence under 1 other name. Lineage: Eukaryota; Viridiplantae; Streptophyta; Jungermanniopsida; Metzgeriales; Aneuraceae. The record is from RNAcentral.
GGGGCGGACGUAGCCAAGUGGAUUAAGGCAGU